This is an unclassified non-coding RNA of Callithrix jacchus (white-tufted-ear marmoset), 289 nucleotides long. It matches the Rfam family "Metazoan signal recognition particle RNA". From Rfam's summary of the family: The signal recognition particle (SRP) is a universally conserved ribonucleoprotein. It is involved in the co-translational targeting of proteins to membranes. The eukaryotic SRP consists of a 300-nucleotide 7S RNA and six proteins: SRPs 72, 68, 54, 19, 14, and 9. The record is from Ensembl. Lineage: Eukaryota; Metazoa; Chordata; Mammalia; Primates; Cebidae.
GCAGGGCGUGGUGGCGCAUGCCUGUAGUCCCAGCUACUCAGGAGGCUGGAGGAUCUCUUGUGUCCAGGGGUUCUGGGCUGUAGUGUGCUAUGCCAAUCGGGUGUCUGCACUAAGUUCGGCAUCAAUAUGGUGACUUCCCAAGAGUGGGGGACUACCAGGUUGCCUAAGGAGGGGUGAACCGGCCCAGGUCAGAAAUGGAACAGGUCAAAACUCCCGUGCUGAUCAGUAGUGGGAUUGCACCUGUGAAUAGCCACUGCACUCCAGCCUGGGCAAUAUAGCGAGACCCUGU